Molecule: ribosomal RNA, 496 nt
Filed under: uncultured bacterium
Lineage: Bacteria
Description: partial 16S ribosomal RNA
Rfam family: Bacterial small subunit ribosomal RNA
Source: RNAcentral
GAUGAACGCUGGCGGCGUGCCUAAUACAUGCAAGUCGAGCGAACAGACGAGGAGCUUGCUCCUCUGACGUUAGCGGCGGACGUGUGAGUAACACGUGGAUAACCUACCUAUAAGACUGGGAUAACUUCGGGAAACCGGAGCUAAUACCGGAUAAUAUAUUGAACCGCAUGGUUCAAUAGUGAAAGACGGUUUUGCUGUCACUUAUAGAUGGAUCCGCGCCGCAUUAGCUAGUUGGUAAGGUAACGGCUUACCAAGGCAACGAUGCGUAGCCGACCUGAGAGGGUGAUCGGCCACACUGGAACUGAGACACGGUCCAGACUCCUACGGGAGGCAGCAGUAGGGAAUCUUCCGCAAUGGGCGAAAGCCUGACGGAGCAACGCCGCGUGAGUGAUGAAGGUCUUCGGAUCGUAAAACUCUGUUAUUAGGGAAGAACAAAUGUGUAAGUAACUAUGCACGUCUUGACGGUACCUAAUCAGAAAACCACGGCUAACUACGU